AUACAGAGGGUGCAAGCGUUAAUCGGAAUUACUGGGCGUAAAGCGCGCGUAGGCGGUUUAAUCAGUCGGAUGUGAAAGCCCCGGGCUCAACCUGGGAACUGCAUUCGAUACUGUUAAGCUAGAGUAUGGUAGAGGGAAGUGGAAUUCCAGGUGUAGCGGUGAAAUGCGUAGAUAUCUGGAGGAACAUCAGUGGCGAAGGCGACUUCCUGGACCAAUACUGACGCUGAGGUGCGAAAGCGUGGGGAGCAAACAGGAUUAGAUACCCCUGUAGUCC
This 274-nucleotide ribosomal RNA is filed under the name uncultured bacterium. RNAcentral's name for it is "partial 16S ribosomal RNA". It matches the Rfam family "Bacterial small subunit ribosomal RNA", at positions 523 to 796 of the family's 1533-position model. The record is from RNAcentral.